This 703-nucleotide unclassified non-coding RNA is filed under the name Hevea brasiliensis (rubber tree). Lineage: Eukaryota; Viridiplantae; Streptophyta; Magnoliopsida; Malpighiales; Euphorbiaceae. The record is from RNAcentral.
AGGCAAUGUCAUUGUCAAUUGAGGAAAAUCCAUAAGCACCUCAGCCAUUUCAUUUCCUCUUUCUCCACAGCCGACAUAGACCACCGUGUCAGAGUUAGAGUACUUUGAGAGUGCUUGACUAAUAACAGUUUUACCGCAACCAAAAGCUCCAGGUAUCGCACAGGUGCCACCCAGCACAGAGGGGAAAAGGGCGUCAAGGACACGCUGUCCAGUCAAGAGAGGUGUAUCAGCAGCAAGUUUUGAUGCAACAGGCCUUGGGGAACGCACUGGCCAUGACUGAAGCAUGGUGAACUGUUUUUUAACACCUUGAAAUUCCAGCUCGAGAACAGUAUCCUUCAGACUGUAUUGGCCCGCUGGGGCGACGUAAGUAAUUUUUCCCAUCGAACCAGGAGGAAGAGCAACAUGAUGUUUCAACAAAGUAUUCUCAAAGACAGUAGCAUAUAAAUCUCCGCCAGUUAAAAGAUCUCCCUCAGCUAACUUCUUAGGCUCAAAUUCCCACAAUAUAUCUUUGUCAAGGGCAGGGACAGAAACACCACGAGGGAUGUAGACAUCGCCCGAUCUUAUGGCAAUAGUUUUCAGAGGUCUCUGAAUACCAUCAAAAAUGUUACCCAAUAUUCCAGGUCCCAACUCCACCGAAAGAGGCUUUCUAGUUCGGAGGACAGGAUCAUUUACCAUCAGUCCAGCUGUUUCUUCAUAAACCUGA